Molecule: ribosomal RNA, 490 nt
Filed under: uncultured bacterium
Lineage: Bacteria
Description: partial 16S ribosomal RNA
Rfam family: Bacterial small subunit ribosomal RNA
Source: RNAcentral
AUUGAACGCUGGCGGCAUGCCUUACACAUGCAAGUCGAACGGCAGCAUGAUCUAGCUUGCUCGAUUGAUGGCGAGUGGCGAACGGGUGAGUAAUACAUCGGAACGUGCCCUGUAGUGGGGGAUAACUAGUCGAAAGAUUAGCUAAUACCGCAUACGACCUGAGGGUGAAAGUGGGGGACCGCAAGGCCUCAUGCUCUAGGAGCGGCCGAUGUCUGAUUAGCUAGUUGGUGAGGUAAAGGCUCACCAAGGCGACGAUCAGUAGCUGGUCUGAGAGGACGAUCAGCCACACUGGAACUGAGACACGGCCCAGACUCCUACGGGAGGCAGCAGUGGGGAAUUUUGGACAAUGGGCGAAAGCCUGAUCCAGCAAUGCCGCGUGUGUGAAGAAGGCCUUCGGGUUGUAAAGCACUGUUGUCCGGAAAGAAAUGGCUCGGGUUAAUACCUGGGGUCGAUGACGGUACCGGAAGAAUAAGGACCGGCUAACUACGUG